CUACGGGUCGCAGCAGUGGGGAAUAUUGCACAAUGGGGGGAACCCUGAUGCAGCAACGCCGCGUGGAGGAUGACGCAUUUCGGUGUGUAAACUCCUUUUAUAUGUCAAGAAAAUGACGGUAGCAUAUGAAUAAGCACCGGCUAACUCCGUGCCAGCAGCCGCGGUAAUACGGAGGGUGCAAGCGUUACUCGGAAUCACUGGGCGUAAAGGACGCGUAGGCGGGUUGGAAAGUCAGGUGUGAAAUCCUACAGCUUAACUGUAGAACUGCACUUGAAACUUCUACUCUAGAGUAUGGGAGGGGGAGAUGGAAUUAGUGGUGCAGGGGUAAAAUCCGUAGAUAUCACUAGGAAUACCUAAAGCGAAGGCGAUCUCCUGGAACAUUACUGACGCUAAGGCGUGAAAGCGUGGGGAGCAAACAGGAUUAGAUACCCGCGUAGUC
Molecule: ribosomal RNA, 439 nt
Filed under: uncultured bacterium
Lineage: Bacteria
Description: partial 16S ribosomal RNA
Rfam family: Bacterial small subunit ribosomal RNA
Source: RNAcentral